CCCCUCCCAGUGCUCCAGGACCUGCCUCACUGAAUUCCUGACCCUGAUCGCAGUCUACCCUGUCGGGCUGGGGCACUUGGGCCGUGUCACCUCAGUGUGGGCCUAGACAAGGGAGCUCAUGGCAUGUCCUCCCUCCUGAAGCAGAGUACCUUUUGCUUGUUCAGUGAAGCAUAGUGUCAUUGGCCAGGCGCAGUGACUCACGCCUGUAAUCCCAGCACUUUGGGAGGCCGAGGUGGCGGAUCACCUGAGGUCGGGAGUUUGAGACCAGCCUGGCCAACAUGGCAAAACCCUGUCUCUACUAAAAAUACAAAAAAUUAGCCAGGCGUGGUGGUGGGCACCUGUUCUCCCAGCUACUCGGGAGUCUGAGGCAGGAGAAUCUCUUGAACGUGGGAGGUAGAGGCUGCAGUGAGCCGAGAUUGUGCCACUGCACUCCAGCCUGGGUGACAGAGUGAGACUCUAUCUCAAAAACAAACAAAAAAACAGCAACAAAAAACCGUAGCAUCAUUGUCACAUGUCAGGAAGCUCCAUUGUAAAAUAUAAAAAUAAUUUAAAACAAAAUAAACAUAUAAUAAUAAUUUAGGCCAGGCGCAGUGGCUCACGCCUGUAAUCCCAGCACUUUGGGAGGUUGAGGCGGGUGGAUCGCCUGAGGUCGGGAGUUCAAGACCAGCCUGGCCAACAUGGUGAAACUCCAUCUCUACUAAAAAUACAAAAAUCAGCCAGGCGUGGUGGCGCGAGCCUGUAAUCCCAGCUACUGGGGAGGCUGAGGCAGGAGAAUCGCUUGAACCCGGGAGGUUGAGGUUGCAGUGAGCUGAGAUCAGGCCAUUGCACUCCAGCCUGGGCAACAAGAGCGAGACUCCGUCUCAAAUAAUAAUAAUAAUUUAAAACAAAAU
RNAcentral lists this long non-coding RNA (890 nucleotides) under Homo sapiens (human). RNAcentral describes it as "non-protein coding lnc-PTGIS-1:1". Lineage: Eukaryota; Metazoa; Chordata; Mammalia; Primates; Hominidae. The record is from RNAcentral.